UUAGAUAAACUUAACCAUACGUUUUCGAAUCAAUGAUAUGGCAACCCAGUUUAUUAAAAUAUAAUUUUUGGUUUUCUGGAUUACAUCAGAAUAUUGGCUUUUUAGUGUGGCAGUAAUCGGGAGAGAAUUGCACGAAAGACAAAACUUCUAUCGACUUGAGGCCAAAGAGCAAAAAUUUCGUUGUAGUGAAAAUAAAGUCUAAUGUUUAGAAAUCUAUUACAAGCAACCAAUUAGGCUUAUAAAAAUUCAUGAUUGUAAGAAAUUGCAAAUAAUUAUUAUUAAUAUUAUAAGUAUUUUUAAGUAUUUACAUUAUUUGAACUAUAGUAAAGUAUUCAAUAUUUUGUUGCGUUAUUUGCAAACAAACUAAUGUCAAGGUCUCAAUCAGUCUUUAAUUUUCCAUAAAAAUCACUUUCCAUCAUCCGUAACUGUUUCUUCCUGCGGCUUGAGCUUAUUCAACAGCUCCCAAUAGAGCGCCGAUUGCACCGUGGACUCCAGCACUCUGCGUUUUUGGCGCAGUAAAACGUUUCGAUUACCCUUCGCCUGCAGUGCGCGAUAAUUGUUUUCCAAGGUAGCGCCAUGACCAUCCGACAGUCGACGGAAGCGCUGCAUUUGGCUGGGCGUAAUUGUGAUGGGUUGCGUGAACACCACCCAAGUGACGGCCUGCGAGCAUGGUGGCGUUGUCAGCGAGCCAGCGUAGGUGUAAAAUUCAUCUACGUCCAUAUCGCCCAGUAAAACGGAGAGUUGAAAAUUGUCAAUUUCUGUGGAGCGAUUGAAUUCGGAAAUGGACUCCAAAACAUUUAUGACUUCAUUUAAGCCGACGAAAUCCUCGGUGACAUUGACCUGCAUAGAAACAUAUGCUUUAUGUUAUUUACUUUCAAGUUCCUGAAUUUUUAUUUAUUUUCUUUACAAACUUACAUUCACCGCGUACAGCACGGCCAGCACAGCCAAGCCGUCUUCGUGUUCGCGCGCCUCCACCACUGUCGCAUAUUUGGUAUUCCGAUGCAGCAGAUGCAUUUCCAUCGAGUAGCGUUCGCUGUCGAGCACAUGCUCGGAGCCAUGCGUGUCGAUGGAGCCCCAAUGAAAGUGCAAACUCUCCAUUAUGAAGGUUGUACCGUUCUGUAGCGGCCCGCCAACAAUGUAAGCGCUAUCGAGUCUCGCCGUGGGCAAUUGUAUAUUCGCUGUGUGUCCGUUAUUCUCACUUCUCACUGCUUUCAUAUAGGGUACAUCAUAGUGUAUGAAUUUCAACAGUGGCAAGUCAUACGAUAUAACGGCCUGUGUAUAAAUAAAAUAAAAUAAAAUAAAUAUACAAAUAUGUUAAUAAGUCUACAAAAAGGUUAAAUAUAAUUUAUGACAAGACGCUGUUUAUGCCACAUUUCGUUUGUCAUAAGUGCAUGACUUUCAGUUUAAGAUUCUCUAAAUUAAUUUUAUGGUGUUACUGUGUGAUACUUCUCCUGUUAUAAAUAUUUUUUCUGAAAUAAAAUUAUGAAUUUGUGCUUGCUAAGUUUUAUCAACUUUUUGUUAUGACUGACAUGCUGUAUAUUUUAACUGAAUGUUGUCUGUGGUUAAGAUUUUGUUAGUUCGUGAUAAAAAUCAUGAAUUUCGUGUCAUUAUCACAACGAUAUAUUCCUGGGCCCCUUAUGGAGGUUGGUAUUGCUGAUACUAAAAUGAAUACGACCAAACUUGCUGAGGACAAAUAUUUCCAACCCCUCCUUAUACCUACACUGCGAAAUUGGGUGAAGUUUGAUGAUAAGCUCGCCCACUCCCCAGAUAAGCGUUAUGUUGAAAACUACUAAAAGUGCGAUAAUUCGCUAAAUAAAUACGUUUCGCACCCGACAACAAAUAUGGUAAUAAAAAUAUUAAAGUUGAGAAUGUACAAAAUGUACGGUUAAACCCAUCACUUAUACUACUUUACUAAUAUAUUUUUUAGAUAUAUACCUUUGACAUAAAAAUACGUGCUAAAUGGUGUUUUGAAUGCACGGAGAGAAUACACUGAGAGAAUAUUUUACACACAAGAACAAACGCUGAACUAUGAAUGACAACCCCAAAUCACUACUUAGAGCAUUUUAUACCACCCAUUAGUGUUCAACCAACUGCACAUUUUACCAACUCAUUGUCUGGACAUUUUUUAUCAAAAUAUCAAUGCAGAUAUCAGCAGCGUUAUUACAAAAUCCGCGCAAUCAAAGGUGUGUAGUGUGUUACGGUAUCUAAGGUAACCGUAAUAAUAAUAAAAUCAUAAAACGUAUCCAAAUAUCCACAAAAAAAGGUAAACACAUAAAUGAAGUGUGCUAUUCAACCAGGUGAUAAAAUAAACGUAGACAUUUUAUGAUAAACACAAACCCAUGACU
Molecule: long non-coding RNA, 2345 nt
Organism: Bactrocera oleae (olive fruit fly)
Lineage: Eukaryota; Metazoa; Arthropoda; Insecta; Diptera; Tephritidae
Source: RefSeq, a predicted model, not a curated record